Molecule: small RNA, 635 nt
Filed under: Pongo abelii (Sumatran orangutan)
Lineage: Eukaryota; Metazoa; Chordata; Mammalia; Primates; Hominidae
Description: retained intron
Source: RNAcentral
GGCUGGCGGAGGCUGGCUUUGGCCCUGGAGUCCUCAGAGAACCCCCCAGCAUCUCUGCCUGUGUAGUGGGGACUCCGAGUGGUGUGGGAAGAGAGGGGAGAGACCCAAGAGCGGGGCCGGCGGUUGGGAGGCAUCCCCACAGUGAAGGAUGCUUGAAGAAUCAGUCUCAGCUGGCCUGGAGCAGGAGCAGCUGGGGGAAGUCAAGCUGGAGGAGGAGGAGACUGUCAGCCCAGAGGACCCCAGGCGGCCAGAGUCCAGGCUGAGGCCCGAGGUGGCUCACCAGCUGUUCAGAUGCUUCCAGUAUCAGGAGGACAUGGGGCCACGGGCGUCCCUGAGCCGGCUCCGGGAGCUCUGCGGCCACUGGCUGCGGCCGGCUCUGCACACCAAGAAGCAGAUCCUGGAGCUGCUGGUGCUGGAGCAGUUCCUGAGUGUGCUGCCUCCGCACCUCCUGGGCCGCCUGCAGGGGCAGCCCCUCAGGGACGGGGAGGAGGUGGUCCUGCUGCUGGAGGGCAUCCACCGGGAGCCCAGCCAUGCGGGGCCGCUGGUGAGAGGGUGGCGCAGCGGGCUGAGCAGCACGCGGAUGAUGGGGACUUGAUCCCCUCAGUGAGGAAUCUCUGGAAACUCUACUUUCCCCC